RNAcentral lists this transfer RNA (86 nucleotides) under Fusarium acuminatum. Its description in RNAcentral is "tRNA-Ala". It matches the Rfam family "tRNA". Rfam says of the family: Transfer RNA (tRNA) molecules are approximately 80 nucleotides in length. Their secondary structure includes four short double-helical elements and three loops (D, anti-codon, and T loops). Further hydrogen bonds mediate the characteristic L-shaped molecular structure. tRNAs have two regions of fundamental functional importance: the anti-codon, which is responsible for specific mRNA codon recognition, and the 3' end, to which the tRNAs corresponding amino acid is attached (by aminoacyl-tRNA synthetases). tRNAs cope with the degeneracy of the genetic code in two manners: having more than one tRNA (with a specific anti-codon) for a particular amino acid; and 'wobble' base-pairing, i.e. permitting non-standard base-pairing at the 3rd anti-codon position. RNAcentral also lists the same sequence under 2 other names. The record is from RNAcentral. Lineage: Eukaryota; Fungi; Ascomycota; Sordariomycetes; Hypocreales; Nectriaceae.
GGGGAUAUGGUGUAGGGGUAUCACGUUCGCUUUGCAUCGAUUCAGAAGCAUGCGAAAGGUCUGGGGUUCAAAUCCCUAUGUCUCCA